This is a long non-coding RNA of Triticum dicoccoides, 549 nucleotides long. RefSeq lists it as uncharacterized. Lineage: Eukaryota; Viridiplantae; Streptophyta; Magnoliopsida; Poales; Poaceae. The record is from RefSeq and is a predicted model, not a curated record. The transcript is spliced from 2 exons.
CCCAGCAACACAGCAAAACUUCGCCGCAGGGCUCACUCCACCCGGUGGCUUCUGGGCGGACGACAACGGGUACGUGGCUGGCACCCCGAUUAUGCGAGAUAAUUUAGCAGAAGGCAUUGUAGGAGUUUGUUUUCUGAGCAUGGGAAUUAGCUUUAUCGCCGGCACGUGGAACAGCAACGCCGGCCCCACACAACUGUGGCCUGCCGUUUUUGUCCUUGCAAUUAACAUUGUCUACAUGACGGGGGAUCGGAUUAAGGAAAUGUUUUCCGGUAUAUAAUCUAGUAAUAGCUGUGGGGACUUCCCGAAUCCGGUGCUUAAGAGAUCCGCUCAGUACUAUAUGAAUGAGUAAUGGCAAAGAAGAAGCUUCGCAGACUUAAUUAUGCACUCAUGGACUCGAUGGUACUUGUAGUGAACCCUGGUAUGUGUAUUGUAUUUGUAACUCCGUGAGAACCCAGCUUCUGGUACUCAUCUUCUUUGUAACUCCUGGUUUGUAUAUUGUAUUUGUAACUGAGUCGAUGGUAAUUAUGCCCUCAUGAGUCAUUACUAACA